This 254-nucleotide ribosomal RNA is filed under the name uncultured bacterium. RNAcentral's name for it is "partial 16S ribosomal RNA". It matches the Rfam family "Bacterial small subunit ribosomal RNA", at positions 524 to 776 of the family's 1533-position model. The record is from RNAcentral.
CACGUAGGGACCAAGCGUUGUCCGGAUUCAUUGGGCGUAAAGAGCUCGUAGGCGGCUCAGUAAGUCGGGUGUGAAACCUCCAGGCUCAACCUGGAGACGCCACCCGAUACUGCUGUGGCUAGAGUCCAGUAGGGGAGCGUGGAAUUCCUGGUGUAGCAGUGAAAUGCGUAGAUAUCAGGAGGAACACCGAUGGCGAAGGCAGGUCUCUGGGCUGACACUGACGCUCAUGCACGAAAGCGUGGGGAGCAAACAGG